This is a non-coding RNA of Nylanderia fulva, 757 nucleotides long. NCBI's taxonomy places the organism in Eukaryota, Metazoa, Arthropoda, Insecta, Hymenoptera, Formicidae. The record is from RefSeq and is a predicted model, not a curated record.
AUUUCAGCUGAGUAAGUUUUUAAAAUGUUAGCACUUAGCCGGAACGUGAAGAAGGGAGAGAUACAUGAUGGGGAUAUUAUCAGAUUAUCAAAAUAAAAAUUGGAACAUAUAUUAUCAUUCAGUUAACUUUUUAUAUUUUACUGCUGGCGACUUCUCUACAUUUUGUGUGCUCAUUUGACUGUUGAAGUUGCAUAUCGCCGAGGAUCUUGUAUUCAGAUUUCAUCGAUGACGCACAAAUUGCGAAUAAUUCCUGUUCAUUGAAAAAAUAUACUCAUCCAACGAGAAAAGAAUAAAGCUGCAUCCCUGUGAACAAAUUCUCUCUAAUUAUAAAUGCUGGUAUCGCAAUCACGUGGAAAACGCACACAUAUAAAAGCAUGCCGACGAUGAGUAAGCGGUGAAGAGGAGGGUCGAAUAAAGACAGGAAAGAGGUGGAAGGGGCAGAGAGAGGGUAGCGAAACGUAUAUAAACCUUGCCCGCGUCCUACCUCUCAGUUCUACUUGGAGUUCGGACACGUGAGUUUCCGGAACAAAGCUCGCACGAGGGGAAAGUUUUUGUUUGUUUGGUGCGCUCGUUGUAUGGAGCGAGAGAAGAGUAUAAAACACGGAGAGAGCCCUGUGGAGCCAAUAAGCAGCUGCAGGGACGAACAUGGAUUUGUGCCAACGGUUGGUCGCUGGGGCAACGAAUGGCCGAGUUGACUCGAGACGGCAGAGAUAUGGUGCCAGCCACAGGGGCAGGCACGCGGGCCCUGGAUCAGGGG